GAUGAACGCUGGCGGCGUGCCUAAUACAUGCAAGUCGAGCGAACAGACGAGGAGCUUGCUCCUCUGACGUUAGCGGCGGACGGGUGAGUAACACGUGGAUAACCUACCUAUAAGACUGGGAUAACUUCGGGAAACCGGAGCUAAUACCGGAUAAUAUAUUGAACCGCAUGGUUCAAUAGUGAAAGACGGUUUUGCUGUCACUUAUAGAUGGAUCCGCGCCGCAUUAGCUAGUUGGUAAGGUAACGGCUUACCAAGGCAACGAUGCGUAGCCGACCUGAGAGGGUGAUCGGCCGCACUGGAACUGAGACACGGUCCAGACUCCUACGGGAGGCAGCAGUAGGGAAUCUUCCGCAAUGGGCGAAAGCCUGACGGAGCAACGCCGCGUGAAUGAUGAAGGUCUUCGGAUCGUAAAACUCUGUUAUUAGGGAAGAACAAAUGUGUAAGUAACUAUGCACGUCUUGACGGUACCUAAUCAGAAAGCCACGGCUAACUACGUG
Molecule: ribosomal RNA, 497 nt
Filed under: uncultured bacterium
Lineage: Bacteria
Description: partial 16S ribosomal RNA
Rfam family: Bacterial small subunit ribosomal RNA
Source: RNAcentral